This 238-nucleotide long non-coding RNA is filed under the name Phaseolus vulgaris (common bean). RNAcentral describes it as "long non-coding RNA (PVUL_LNC002882)". The record is from RNAcentral. Lineage: Eukaryota; Viridiplantae; Streptophyta; Magnoliopsida; Fabales; Fabaceae.
AGUCAUUUGUGUCGAUCUCACUAAAGUCGAUAUCAAUAUACAUAUCAAUAUAUACAAAAAUACGCUUUUUUCAUUUACAACAAAAUGGUUCAAAUCCGAAAUAGAAAAAGAAAAGGUUUGACAGAAACGGUCCGUAAAAAUAUUUAUACAGUACACCCCAUUCCCUGGGAUUGUAGUUCAAUUGGUCCUAGGCAAGCCACUAUCCAAUUUAUAUGGAAAAUGGGUUUCAUGAAAGAUU